Molecule: RNA transcript, 875 nt
Organism: Capsicum annuum
Lineage: Eukaryota; Viridiplantae; Streptophyta; Magnoliopsida; Solanales; Solanaceae
Gene name: protein NRT1/ PTR FAMILY 7.2-like
Exons: 2
Source: RefSeq, a predicted model, not a curated record
GGGAAAAUAGUUCCAGAAAACAUUUUCCAUCAUACCAAACACACCCAUAGUUUUUUGGGAUUUUUGGACCUUUACGGAUGAAGCCAUUUAAAUUUCUCCUUUUCUUUAUAGUGGUUGCCGCAGUUAAUAUUACAUGUUCAUACCCCCCUCUUCUUUUUUUUUAAUUAAAUGUGGAUGGCUUUUCUAUCUUUUAACAUGUUUCCAAUUUUAUUACUCCAUUAGAUUUUAGUAAUGCACACUCAGUAGCUGGGUUUUUUGGGCUUUUGAUACUGCGGAGUGUUUUACACUUGUGCUAUUUGUCGUUUAAGUGUUCAAGGGCUUCUGCUUGAUUGAUUAAUGGCAUGAAAUGCACUAUUGAUACAACGUUUAAUUUUAUAUCUCCAUAAAGGACUAAUGGUAGGGGCUGCAUAAAGGACUAACUUGAAAAAAUUAUUCAUGUCCAAAAUGGCAUAAAGAAUUUCAUUAAUUUGACUCUUGUACUUAGAACCAUGUUACAUAAACUGACACUUGCGGAGUAUUGCGGUGGUGACUAACAAAUGUUCUCCGGCAUAUAUUUUUAGUGUCAGGGGGAGAAGAUGGAAAAUGAAAAAGACGAAUACACCCUUGAUGGAACUGUGGAUAACCACGGUCAACCUGCCGUGCGUGCAAGGACCGGAAGUGAAUCAAGGUCUAGCUACACUAGCCUUCUUUGGGGUUGGAGUCAAUUUAGUACUAUUUCUGACCAGAGUUAUGGGGCAAGACAAUGCUGAAGCAGCCAACAAUGUGAGCAAGUGGACAGGGACAGUUUAUAUCUUCUCCCUCUUGGGAGCUUUCCUCAGUGAUUCCUACUAGGGAAGAUACAAGACGUGUGCUAUUUUCCGAUCCAUUUUUGCGGC